AGUUCGAUCCUGGCUCAGAUUGAACGCUGGCGGAUGCUUUACACAUGGUUUGUCAGCAGCACGGACUUCGGUCUGCGGCGAGUGGCGAACGGGUGAGUAAUGUAUCGGAACGUGCCUAGUAGCGGGGGAUAACUACGCGAAAGCGUAGCCAAUACCGCAUACGCCCUUCGGGGGAAAGCGGGGACCUCCGGGCCUCGCACUAAUAGAGCGGCCGAUAUCGGACGAAUAGAAGCCAGGUAACGGCUCACCAAGGCGACGAUCCGUAGCUGGUUUGAGAGGACGACCAGCCACACUGGACCAGACACGGCCCAGACUCCUACGGGGAGGCAGUGGGGAAUUUUGGACAAUGGGGAACCUGAUCCAGCCACCCCGCGUGUGCGAUGAAGGCCUUCGGGUUGUAAAGCAAUUUUUGGCAGGAAAAGAAACGGCACGGGAUAAUACCCCGCAACUGACGGUACCUGCAGAAUAAGCACCGGCUAACUACGUGCCAGCAGCCGCGGUAAUACGUAGGGUGCAAGCGUUAAUCGGAAUUACUGGGCGUAAAGCGUGCGCAGGCGGGUUCGGAAAGAAAGAUGUGAAAACUCAGAGCUUAACUUUGGAACUGCAUUUUUAACUACCGAGCUAGAGUGUGCCGAGAGGUGGACCUGCGUGUAGCAGUGAAAUGCGUAGAUAUGCGGAGGAACACCGAUGGCGAAGGCAGCCUCCCUGGGAUAACACUGACGCUCGCACGAAAGCGUGGGAGCAAACAGGAUUAGAUAAUUCCUGGUAAUCCACGCCCUAAACGAUGUCAACUAGCUGUUGGGGCCUUCGCCUUGUAGCGCAGCUAACGGUGAAGUUAACUGCUCAGAGCAUGGUCGCAAGAUUAAAACUCAAAGGAAUUGACGGGGACCCGCACAAGCGGUGGAUGAUGUGAUUAAUCUUCGAUGCAAACGCGAAAAACCUUACCUACUCCUUGAUAAGGUCUGGAAUCCCGAAGAGAUUUGGGAGUGCUCGCAAGAGAACCGGUUAUUAUAGUUGCAAGGGACAGUCGUCAGCCUGCCGAUGUUGGGUUAAGUCUCAACGAGCGUGAACCCGGUUUAGUUAGCGCGAAAGGGCACUCUACACUUAUAUCCGCCAGACAAACUGGAGAAGGUGGAUGACGCCAAGUCCUCAUGGCCCUUGCGGGUGGUUUAAGACGUCAUACAAUGGUCGGGACAGGAUCGCCAACCCGCGAGGGGAGCUAACCAGAAACCGAUCGUAGUCUGAUCGCAGUCUGCAAACCUGACUGCGUGAAGUCGGAAUCAAGCAGUAAUCGCGGAUCAGCAUGUCGCGGUGAAUACGUUCCUGGCCCGUACACACCGCCCGCCACCCAUGGGAGUGGGUUUUACCAGAAGUAGUUAGCUCAAUCCGUAAGGGAGGCGAUUACCAUUGCGGUAGGAUUCAUGACUGGGGUGAAGUCGUAACAAGGUAG
This 1450-nucleotide ribosomal RNA is filed under the name uncultured Bordetella sp. RNAcentral's name for it is "partial 16S-23S ribosomal RNA intergenic spacer". It matches the Rfam family "Bacterial small subunit ribosomal RNA". The record is from RNAcentral. Lineage: Bacteria; Pseudomonadati; Pseudomonadota; Betaproteobacteria; Burkholderiales; Alcaligenaceae.